AAGUAGAACGCUGAAGGGAGAGCUUGCUCUUCUGGAUGAGUUGCGAACGGGUGAGUAACGCGUAAGUAACCUGCCUGGUAGCGGGGGAUAACUAUUGGAAACGAUAGCUAAUACCGCAUAAUAGUAGAUGUUGCAUGACAUUUGCUUAGAAGGUGCAAUUGCAUCACUACCAGAUGGACCUGCGUUGUAUUAGCUAGUUGGUGGGGUAACGGCUCACCAAGGCGACGAUACAUAGCCGACCUGAGAGGGUGAUCGGCCACACUGGGACUGAGACACGGCCCAGACUCCUACGGGAGGCAGCAGUAGGGAAUCUUCGGCAAUGGACGGAAGUCUGACCGAGCAACGCCGCGUGAGUGAAGAAGGUUUUCGGAUCGUAAAGCUCUGUUGUAAGAGAAGAACGAGUGUGAGAGUGGAAAGUUCACACUGUGACGGUAUCUUACCAGAAAGGGACGGCUAACUACGUGCCAGCAGCCGCGGUAAUACGUAGGUCCCGAGCGUUGUCCGGAUUUAUUGGGCGUAAAGCGAGCGCAGGCGGUUAGAUAAGUCUGAAGUUAAAGGCUGUGGCUUAACCAUAGUACGCUUUGGAAACUGUUUAACUUGAGUGCAAGAGGGGAGAGUGGAAUUCCAUGUGUAGCGGUGAAAUGCGUAGAUAUAUGGAGGAACA
RNAcentral lists this ribosomal RNA (664 nucleotides) under uncultured Bacilli bacterium. RNAcentral describes it as "bacterial SSU rRNA". It matches the Rfam family "Bacterial small subunit ribosomal RNA", at positions 59 to 708 of the family's 1533-position model. Lineage: Bacteria; Bacillati; Bacillota; Bacilli. The record is from RNAcentral.